RNAcentral lists this ribosomal RNA (253 nucleotides) under uncultured bacterium. RNAcentral's name for it is "partial 16S ribosomal RNA". It matches the Rfam family "Bacterial small subunit ribosomal RNA", at positions 524 to 776 of the family's 1533-position model. The record is from RNAcentral.
UACGGGGGGGGCAAGCGUUGUUCGGAAUUACUGGGCGUAAAGGGCUCGUAGGCGGCCAACUAAGUCAGACGUGAAAUCCCUCGGCUUAACCGGGGAACUGCGUCUGAUACUGGAUGGCUAGAGGUUGGGAGAGGGAUGCGGAAUUCCUGGUGUAGCGGUGGAAUGCGCAGAUAUCAGGAGGAACACCGGUGGCGAAGGCGGGAUCCUGGGCCAGUACUGACGCUGAGGAGCGAAAGCGUGGGGAGCAAACAGG